CUCAUUUUUUAUGCCCUACCUACGAUAGAAGAGGGGCAUUAUGUUUUCUGGUCUGUGCGACCGUCUGUUUGUCGGUUCUGUCCCGCUUCAGGUUAAUGUUUUUGGUCAAGGUAGUUUUUGAUGAAGUUGAAGUCCAAUCAACUUGCAACUUGGUACACAUGUUCCUUAUGGUCAAAUAUGGUAUGAUCUUUCUAAUUUUUAAGCCAA
RNAcentral lists this long non-coding RNA (207 nucleotides) under Mytilus galloprovincialis (Mediterranean mussel). Lineage: Eukaryota; Metazoa; Mollusca; Bivalvia; Mytilida; Mytilidae. The record is from RNAcentral.